CGGCAGAGCUGUAGGCCUCACAGUGGUGACGCGGGGUCAUCCGCGGGCCCGUUACCACCUCAUUUUCCUAUGCGCGCGGCUGCAGGGCGCACGGGACGAGAACAGUUCCUGUCUGCUGCCUUCUCGGUCCAAUGAAUGUAUAGAGAAGUCCAGAAAAAAUCUUGGCUGUUGGAGACGGAAUGGGGAAGUUGUUGGCACUGGGGCAGGGGAAAGUGGACGUUUAGUGUGGGCAAAGAAAAGCCAAAAGAGCAAGAACUCGUUUUCCUUGGUGAAGCGGAAGGGUACUUCAUAGGCCGCACGGUGACGUAAGCGCCCCGUCUGCUCCGUGGAAGAGGCGUGUGGUGGCUGGAGAGUGCGCUACGCUUGCGCACAGGGAAGAAAGAAGCGGUUGAGCUCUCAGCUUGGGGGUUGGACGAUCUGCGGCUGUUGCUUUGGCAAGCCUAGAGCUGUCUGCGUUUACCCAACCUGAUUGGUUGCCUGUUCUGUUAAGAGCCUGCGUUUGUAGUUGAGCUCGCAGAACGUUUUAUUCUUACAAUUGACGUGUAAGUGAAAUUGCGGUUUUUUCGCUACCACACCGUGAAAAAAAUUUUUUAUUGACCUUAUUCAGCGAGCCAGACUCAGUGUUCCAGCAAAUGGAAGUAACCGAGACAGAAAUAACUCUUGACCUCAUGGAGUUUACAAUGCAACGAAAGAGGAUUACCCGGGGCAGAAUGUGCACAAAAGAAGUAAAAGUGACCACGGUUUGUCUUUCCUGUGCCGCCCAAGGGGCAGUGUGACAAAGGGAACCAGUGCGCCUGCGUCAUAUCCCAUAAUGAGUUAUGUCAAGGGAACCAAAGAACUUCCAUCUUGAAGAAAUCCUGUGUGUGCCUGUAUUUGCAUAACCCAACCCCUUCUCAGAAAUCUCCACUGUUCUCCCAGGACCUCAUAAAUAAACAUCAAAACUGCUCCUCUCUGCCUUGUUGAAACGCUUAAAUACUUGGCUCCUAGGCAAAUCAGCAAGACUGUCUCUCUGAAGGUUCUAGCCCUUACUGUCUCCUUUUGCUAGCUGCUGGUAAAAUAACUUUGCUUGUGUGACUCCAGGCUGCCUCAGUAGUCUUAUUAGGCAGCCCGAAUCCGAUUGGGUUCACCCAAGGAAGGGGCCCUCGGAAACAAGAGCAAGAAGCAAAAUCCAGAAGACUACUAGUGCAAAAGGUGCAACCAGCUAGAAGGGAAGGCAGAACUGGACUGAGUUUCAGAAUAAGUGGAGGCCGAGACAAGCACAAAGUCCCGGGGUGAUACAAGUGGUUUGUGCUCGACUACUCACCUAAAGGUUGGCACUACCCAGUGCUGCUGGGGAAGAAGGCCUGGCCAUCUGUUUCCAUAAAGAUUAUAGCCAAGAAAACCCUGUGGAGCAAUUCUACUCUAACAUGUGGAGUUGCAUUGAGUCAGAAUUGACUCGAGGGCAACAGGUUUGCAGGUUUGGUGUUUUUUUUUUUUGUUUUUGGAGACAAGCACAAAGCAAGAUAAGAUGGUGGUUUGGGAGCUAGUUCUACAUGCAACCCGUUCUCAACUUUCGCUCUUAAGAACAGCAUGACUGUGGAUCUCAAAGCACCCCGGGGUGGGAUAGCAUGCUAGGUAGUUUGGUUAGUUCGAUUAAAUGAGCAGAUUUUGUGGUGAGUGAGGAAGAUACCAAGAUCAUUAAGGGAGAUAACCAGUUUCCAGAAAAAGGAAAAUUAAAUGCAUCAGUGCUACUCUGUGUUCUUUUGUCCCCUGUUUCUAUGCUGAUAAUCCUACAGUCCCAAGCAAGUGUGAUUUUCCUGAAGGAAAGCAUUUUGUAAAUAGCAUGAGAGGACAAAUAAAAGUUUUACCAAAACCCAUUUAUUUUCUAACAUAUAAACACAAACAUUGUAUCAUUGAUAUGAAGGAGCUUUCGAUAGCUUAUUUAAUUUACUUUUCUGUCUUUAAUAAAAUCUAACCUAAACCAUCUUGGAUAAAUUUUUCCUAUACUACUAUGAAAGAUUGCCAGAGGGGGUAUCUUACAAAUACUUUAAUCCAUUUGUUAUGGAUUGAAUUGUGUCCUCCUAAAAUGUGUGUCAGUUUGGCUAGGCAGUGAUUCCCAGUAUUGUGUGAUUGUCCAUCAUUUUGUCAUCUGAUGUGAUUUUCUUACGUGUUGUAAAUCCUACCUCUGUGAUGUUAAUGAGGCAAAAUUAGAGGCAGUUAUGUUAGUGAGGCAGGACUCAAUCUACAAGAUUAGGUUGUAUCUUGAGUCAGUCUCUUUUGAGAUAUAAAAAGGAGAUGUGAGCAGAGAAACAGGGACCCCACGCCCCUAAGAAUGAAAAACCAGAAGGGGAGCACAUCUUUGGACCUGGGGACCCUGUGCUGAGAAGCUCCUAGACUAGGGAAAGAUUGAUGACAAGAACCUUCCUACAGAGCCAACAGAGAGAGAAAAUCUUCCUUUGGAGCUGACACCCUGAAUUUGGACUUAAGAGCUUCCUAGCCUGUGAGAGACUAAAUUUCUCUUUGUUAAAGCCAUCCACUUGUGGUAUGAGUGUUACAGCAGCACUAGAUAACUAGUGCUAAGGAUAUCACGCUUGGUAAAGUAGAAGAUCAGUGAAAAAGAGGAAGACCCUCAGUGAGAUUGACACAGUGACUAUGACAUUGGGCCCAAGCAUAACUGCCAUCAUGAUGAUGGCACAGGACUGGGCAGUGUUUCGUUCUGUUGUAUGUACGGUCACUAUGAAUUGGAACUGACUGAAUGACACCUAACAACAACAGAUAACUAAGACACCAUUCCAUAGGAAUGUUGUCAUCCCCUUAAUUGUGUUCUUUUGCAUAUUUUAGGAAGAUAUUUUUUUCAUGUUGCUUAUUUCAACUGUGUUACAGCAGAAACUAAAUCCAAACAUCUAAGCAUACAAAAAACUAUUUGCAUCAACUCACGUAGAAAACGAUCAGGUAAUUUGGACUUACAUCUUGGCUAUACUAAUAACCACUUGAAUUUUAAAGAAAAAAAUUAUACAUAUUCCACAUCCAUAACUCUAAAGUAAAAGAUAAUUUCCGUUUUUGAAUCCAAAAUGUCUUCUGAAACUUGAGGAUAAGAUUGAAUAAGGAAGGAAAAAAUGCUGCAGAAAUACGGUGAGAGAAAUCAAGCUUUAUACUAAAGAAACUGCAGUGUUCUAUGGAAUCUUCCUCUGCUUCCCAAUGUCAGAUAGCCUGCAGCAUGCCUCUCAGAGUGGGCCACUGGUCAGUUUUCCUAGGCCCAUUGAAACCUGGCCUCCUGACCACUCUCAGGAAUUUAUAACUUAUAAGUAGGUGAUGAAUAGUAAAUGCCAAGUCAGGAGUUUUUUUUUUUUGUUUUUACCCUCAGAAUUGUUGAAUAGAACAUAGGAUAGACUUCCUUUGAUAGUUAUUCCCACAUGCAUUAUAAUAUAGGCACCAGAUUUCUUACUGUAAGAAGUUACAUUUAAGGUCAUAGAAACUGGAUCUAUAAAAAGCACCAAGGCAUGUAAGUAAUAGUACUGCUUUGUAAUUAUACAUAGUAUACAGCUAUUUGCCUUUACCUUUCAAAUGUGUUAUUGCUUUAGUUCCUAAAAGUACUUAAAAGCCAGAUAGUUAUUCACUAAGUUCUCGUUAGUCACUGAAUUAAAAUUGAAUUAUAAAAAUGAUAAUGUCAAAUAGUAUAUAACGACUUUUAGAAGUCUGAUAUACAUUAAACAAAGGAACCAAGAUAAAAUGUGGUUUUCUAAGCUAGAAUGGAGCCCUGGUGGCAUAAAACCAAAAACCAAACCCAGCGCUGUCAAGUUGAUUCCAACUCAUAGCGACCCUCUGGGACAGAGUAGAACUGCCCCAUAGAGUUUCCAGGGAGCGCCUGGAGGAUUCGAACUGCUGACCCUUUGGUUAACAGACAUAGACCUUAAGCACUAUGCCACCAGGGUUGUUAAGAAUUUGGCUGCUAACCAAAAGGUCAGCAGUUCGAAUCCACCAGGCGCUCCUUGGAAACCCUGUGAGGUGGUUCUACUCUGUCCUGUAGGGUUGCUAUGAGUCGAAAUGUUUUGGUUUUCUUAGUUUUAAGAUAGACACUACAACAAAGCCGACGCAAAGACAACAGAACCAUAAUCCUUUAUCAUAAUACUAAAACUAUCCCUAAUGGUUGGAGUUAACUUAGAAUGAAGGCCAACUUUAGGAAAGAUUCUCGAAAUAUUUUUGUGAGUAAAGAGCCUCAUUUUGUAAUAAGCAUCAACCAUUUUACAUUUUAAAAAAUCAGUAAAGUUUGCUGUAACCAAAAUAUCCUCACCUUCACAGCAGCUCGAAGGGGCACAGCUUGUAGGCUAAGUGCCAUGUCCACAGGAAUUUCUGGCUCUGAGUCCCCACUGGUCUAAAUGCUGGAACCCAGCACUCAUAGCCCCUCCUUUCCCAUGGCAGGUCCCAGGGAACUUUAUGUGAUCUCUUUGACAGUCAUUAAGAGAAUUCAGUCUCUUUGGCCCCUGCCUGGUUGCUUGGCACAGGUGCCCUGCUGGUGUUUUUCAGAUGUGUGCUGACCUUGGCAUGACGCUUGGGGGUCAUUGUCUUGUAGUUUGUACUGACCAAUCAUGUAGCCCUCGGUCACUGUUGAUGGAUUAAGUACCCUGAGGUCAACAUCUGUGUUGUUCCAGAUAAAAGGGGAGUAGGAACCCUGGCAGCACAGUGGUGAAGAGCUCGGCUGCUAACCAAAAGGCCAGUUGUUCAAAUCCACCAGCCACUCUUUGGAAACCCUGUGGAGCAGUUCUAUUAUAAGUAAGAAUCGAUUCAGCAAAGGGCUUUUAAGGUGAACAGGGGGCCCUCUCUCUGCCAGUGUUACAGUUUUUUCAAUGAAUUCCUAAACAGAAUGGCCUUGCUUUCUGUUUUUUCAGAGCUUAUAGUGUUAAAUUUUAUGUUGAUUCAAAUCCUUAUGGUUCUUAACUCAUCUUUUGGUCAACUUCUCUGGUACUGGAUCAGAUAACAUUUAAUGUGAUACUACUCAUUCCACCCCUGUAAUGUCUGGACACUAAUUCUUAACUAUUUAGAGCGAAGGAGUCCCUGGGUGGUACAAAGAGUUAACGCACUUAGCUGAUAACUGAAAGGCUGGCAGUUAUGUCCCCCAGAGGUGUAUCAGAAGAAAGUCCUGGAGAUCUACUUCCAAAAAUUAAGCCAUUGAAAACCCUAUGGAGUGCAGUUCUAUUCUGACACACAUGGGGUGGCCAUGAGUCAGAAUCGACUCUACAACAACUGGUUUAUUUGGAAUGAGUUCCCUGCCCGGUCCAGGUCACCCCAAGGAAAUUAGAGGACCACCUCUGUUCCUUCUCUGCCUUGUCCUCUAAAGACUACUGUGGGUUCCAAAGUAUAAUCUCUCUCUCUCUUUUUUUCUCUUUCUUCCUUCACUUAUCUUUCUCUCUUUUCCAGAAGGCCCUUUAGAGCCUCUGGUGACCUGCUCCAAUUUGCUCUACUUUCUAGAAUGCAUAGGUAGUCCAAGCCCCCAUGUUAAGUGUAACUUUUACCUUUUAAGGGAGAAAUUUACCUUCUCUCAAUGAGGAAGUAGAAACAUAAAAUUGUAUUCAAUAAAAUUUUUUUUAAUUUAAUAUUAUGGUUAGUUAAGACUUAAGGUAAAAAAAUUGUACUGAAUGCUGUAUUUGAAAUGAGAUAUUUUUCACUUUUUUUUAUAUUAUUCACUUUUGAAAGUUCUCUUUUUCUUAUCACAAGCAUUUUUAUAUUCAGUUAGAUCAACCAACCCAACUCAGCUCUUUAGAAUUAACUGUGUUUCAUAAACUACUAUUCACAACUUUAAACUGCUUUUUUAUCAAGUCUCUGUUCUGAGGAAAACCUACCGAGAAGCUACAGAGAGGAAUUAUUGCCCAGGAUGAAGUAUCCUGGCCAGAGCGACAUCAUUCCAUGUUGUAUUUGCCAAUAAGUUGACGAAAUUAUGCCUUUUCAAUGAAGGCAUCCUAUUUCUUCUUCUAAAAUUAGGUAUUUUAAAAGGUGAAUUUUAAGUACCUUUCAGUUACUUUAAGACCCAGUUGCAAUACAUUCUUCCUCAGGGCGCAUUUAGACACAACAUGGUGCAGUGUGUGAUACAGACUGAUGGUGAUAUCAGUUGAUUACAAGUCAUUUGCUAGAAGCAGCUGGACUUAUGUGACCAGGUUCAAUAGAAGCUUCAAUAAAUAUCUAGGUAUUUAUUGAGCAUUAACUGUAUAUAAGGCCUUGGACUGAAUUAAAAUGUCAAGCUGACCAUGAACCCAGGAAAUAAUGUUACUAACACCAGUAUACCUAUUAGAAAAUAUGCCGUGGUCAUAAUUUUAAGGGAAAAUUGGGAAUAACUGUAAAAAUAAUUUGUUUAACAAGAUUAGAAAUGGCUGUAUUCAUCUUGAAUAAAGUACCUAUGAGGUCAUCUUGUCGUUAGGUGCCUUUGAAUCGAUUUUCAAUUCAAAGUGACCCCAUGUGACAGUAGAACUGCCUCAUAGGGUUUUCUUGGCUGUAAUCUUUAUGGAAGCAGAUCUCCAGGUCUUUCUCCCACAGAGCCACUGAGUGAGUUCAAACUACCAGCUUUUAUGUUAGCAUCUGAGCACUUAAUCAUUGCUUCACCAAGUCGUAGAGUACUUAAUUCAGAGAAUGUUGUGGGUCUAUUCCAGUGUUAGAUUGGGCUUGUGCUUAAUAUUCUUCAGGAUUGGACUAGACCAGAUGGAAAGGAAGCAAAUUCCCAAAAGCUUAUAGUCUGGUCCACCAUUUUCCAAUGUUAUGGUAUAAUAUUUUGUGACAUGAGUAAAAUCAAAUGCUUCGUACUACUUUUCUAAUAGCCAUGAUCUUAGCCUUUAGAUUUUACUGGGUUUUAAGUUUUCAGAGACCCCAAAAUGAUUUCUUCCCUAAGGGAUGGGGAGGAUCAAACCACUAUAAUCACGAAGCUACUGUCUCAUGUCAACAUUCUGUGCAUUUAUCUUCUUAUUUCUCCGUUGAGCCUACUUACAAUUAUACCUCUCCUCACACCGAGUUUCCACGUUUGUUGGUAUCCUUGGUUCAAAUGAUCCUUUCCCUAAUAGAAUCUUAGUGGAUCUACCUCAUCUCCCAAGUCUCUAUUUAUUAUUCCUAUCUAUGUUCCCAGGACUCUAUUUAUUGUCUCUAUUUGUGUUCACUAUGCAGUGGUAUACCUGUUUUCUCUAGAAAUGUCCUUUGCUCUUCUUGUAGAUUUAUGACAGGUUUCAAUACAUGGAGAAAUAUAUCUGCAAGGUCUGUAUCCUUCUCUGCAGGCAUAAGGUAUUAAUUAGUACUGGCUAGGUUGUUGGAACAAGAGAUUCAAAAAUACAGAGAUCCCAAAAUGGCAGCUGUAUGAUAUAGAGAGUCCAUCUUGUUCCUUUUCCAUCCUUAGGGUACUGGUUUCCUUUUUGUACCUGAAAACAACUCACCCAGUCCACUUAAAAAGAGACUGAGGGAAGCACCUGACCCAGAAGUUGCAUAACUUACUUCUGCUCACGUUCUCUUUACUGCGCACUCCUUAGCUAUAUUUGGAUCUAACUUAAACUGUUAUUAGAAUAGAAGAUAAAGUACAGUGAGGAGACAGCUGGCAAACUCUCUACCCUCUAGUAUGGCCCAGAUUUCUUUUUUAAAAAAUCAAAGUACUUUCGGAUUGAGUAGAUGUAGGUGUCUCAGACUGGGUUCUCUAGAGGAGCAAAACCAGUGAAUCAUAUAUACAUCGAGAUUUAUCUCAGGAAAAUGGCUCAUGAGUUUGUAGAGGCUGGCAAGUCCCAAGUCUGUGGGUCAGGUGUCAGGCUGCAGAAUUCUCUCGACUCACAUAGCUGCAGGGGCUGACAAACGCCAGAUCAACAGGUCAGACAGUAGGCCGCUGGCUCCUGGGCUGCAGAGGCUGACUAAUCCAAGAUCAGUGGGUAAGAUGGCAGGCUUCUGGUUCACGGGAUGUGGAGGCCAAUGAAUCCCAAGAUCAGCAGGCUAUACAACAGGCACCUGGUUCAAGUCCCAAAAACUGGAAGUCAGAUGAUGACAAGCUGGAUGCAGAAUCCAAAAUAAGCAAGUAAACCUUGCCAGAAUGUCCAUAUAUAUAUUGGAUGCAGGUUACACCCAUGAGGAAACUCCCCUUACAAUUGAUUGGCUCAUCAUAUCAGAUCACAUCAUGAGGGAUGAUUACUUCAUUACAUAACUGUCAAACUACAUCAUUACAUAAACUGCCAGACCACUAAGAAUCAUAGCCCAGCCAAGUUAACACACAACCUUAACUAUCACAGUCUACCCUUUCUCAGCUUGGGAGCCGCACAGUUUCCUUAAACCAUACACAAUCACUAAAUAAAGACAAUUUACAAAGUUAUGCUUGAACCUAACGUUGCACCUAAUAUGGAUAACAUUGCAAAGAAUGGGAAUUCCAGAACACUUAGUUGUGCUCAUGAAGAACCUGUACUUAGAUCAAGAAGCAGUCAUUGAAACGGAACAAGGGGGAUACUGUGUGGUUUAAAAUUAAAGGUGUGCGUCGGAGUUGUAUCCUUUCACCAUAUGUUCAAUCUGUAUGCUGAGCAAACAAUCUGAGAAGCUGGACAAUAUGAAGAAGAACGUAGCAUCACAAUUGGAGGAAGACUCACUAACAACCUGUGAUAUGCAGAUGACACAACCUUGCUUGUUGAAAGCGAAGAGGACUUGAAGCACUUACUGAUGAUGAUUAAGGACUACAGCCUUCAGUGUGGAUUACACCUCAACAUAAAGAAAACAAAAAUCCUCACAACUGGACCAAUAGGCUGCAUCAGGAUAAAGAGAAAAAAUAUUGAAGUUGUCAAGGAUUUCAUUUUACUUCGAUCCAUAAUCAACGCCCAUGGAAGCAGCAGUAAAGAAAUCAAACAACACACUGCAUUAGGCAAAUUUGCUGCAAAAGACCUCUUUAAAGUGUUGAAAAGCAAUGAAGUCACCUUGAGGACUAAGGUGUGCCUGACCCAAGGCAUGAUGUUUUCAAUUGCCUCAUAUGCAUGUGAAAGCUGGCCAAUGAAUAAGGAAGAUCAAAGAAGAGUUGGUACCUUCAAAUUAUGGUGUUGACGAAGAAUAUUGAACAUACCGUGGACUACCAGAAGAACGAACAAAUCUGUCUUGGAAGAGGUACAACCAGAAUGCUCAUUAGAAUCAAAGAUGGCAGCACUUCAACUCACAUACUUUGGACGUGUUAUGAGGAGAUACGAGUGUCUGGAGAAGGACAUCAUGCUUAAGAAAGUAGAGGGUCAGCAAAAAAGAGGAAGACCCUCAGCGAGAUGGGUUGACACAGCAGCUGCACCAAUGGGCUCAAGCAUAACAACGAUUGUGAGGAUGGUGCAGGACCAGGCAGUAUUUUGUUCUGUUGUACAUAGGGUUGCUAUGAAUUAGAACCGACUCGACAGCACCGAACAACUACAUGCAUACAACCAAGAUGUUUACAUCUUAUAUUUUUAAAUGAAGAAAACAAAAAUAGUUGAUGCACACAUACAAAGCAGAAAUACUCAUAACAAUUACAGUCCUCAUUUCUGCAGCUGAUCACAUGAUGGUAACUGGUAUUUAGAACUACCUUCUUCCACCACCCAUUCCGUAUUCCCAUCACCUUCAGCAAGCACCUCAGCUGUUUGUGGUUCUUUGCAUGGUGAGUUGAUCCAAAUCUUCAUUCCUAAAGUGUUUGAGCCAUUAGUAGUAAUGUCGGAAUUGGGUCACUGUAGUUUUCCAUUGACUUUAAUCACAGGGCAUGGUAGUACUAAGAGAUGCCCUAAGGGGUCACCUGUAUUCCAGACAUACACUUUUUUACCUCCCUUUUGUAAUAUCAGUCUGAUUUGGUAGUCAGGGUCAGUCACUCCAGUCAGUAUGGUCAUUCCCUUUUUUGCCUGUUGAUCCACAGGCAUGAGGCACCCAAAGUGGCUGGGUGGUAUCCUUAACAUCCAGUUCAAUGGAAUCCAUGUCAUGUCUCCAGGUGGGAACAUUCCUCCAGUUGGAACUAAGACCUCUGGACCUGCAGAGCAAUGAGUUGCAGGGACAGGAAGCAAAAAUUUUGUGAGUGUGUCACUAGGGGUAAUAGUGAGUGAUGCCAGUCCAAUCUCCACCCCUUGAUUCCUGGAACCAUGAAUCCUGGCUAUGGGGGAAACAGCAUUAUACAGGCAUACCUCGUUUUAUUGUGUUUCACCUUGUUGUGCUUCACAGAUAUUGUGUUCUCUACAAAUUGAAGAACCUGCAUCAAGCAAGUCUAUCGAUGCCAUUUUUCAAACAGCAUGCGCUCAGUUCAUGUCUCUAUCACAUUUUGGUAAUUUUCACAAUAUUUCAAAGUUCUUCAUUAUUGUAUCUGCUAUGGUGAUCUGUGAUCAGUGAUCUUUGAUGUUACUGUUGUAAUUGUUUUGGGGCCACAAGCUGCACCCAUAUAAGAUGGCGAACUUAACUCAUACAUGUUGUGUGUGUUCUGACUGUUCCACCGACUGGCCAUCCCCCCAUCUCUCUCUCUCUCUUCUUAGACCUCCCUAUUCCCUGAGACUCAACAGAGUUGAAAUUAGGCCAAUUAAUACCCCUACAAUGGCCUCUAAGUGUUCGAGCGAAAGGAAGAGUCAGACACCUCUCACUUAAAUCAAAAGCUAGAAAUGAUUAAGCUUAAUGAAGAAGGCAUGUCAAAAACUAAGACAGGCUGAAAGGCCUCUCGUGCCAGUUAACCAAGUUGUGAAUGCAAAGGAAAAGUUCUUGAAGGAAAUUAAAAGUGCUAUUCCGGUGAACACAUAAAUGAGAAGUAACUGAAAGAUGCGUAUUGCUGAUACAGAGAAAGUUUUAGUGAUCUGAAUAGAAAAUCAAAUCAGCCACAGCAUUCCCUUAAGCCAAAGCCUAAUCCAGAGCAAGACCCUAACUCUCCUCAAUUAUAUGAAGGCUGGGAGAGGUGAGGAAGCUGCAGAGGAUUUGGUUCAUGAGGUUUAAGGAAAGCAGCCAUCUCCAUAACAUAAAAGUGCAAGGUGAGGCAGCAAGUGCUGAUGCAGAAGCUGCAGCAAGUUAUCCAGAAGAUCUAGGUGAGGUAAUUGACGAAGAUUGUUACACUAAACAGCAGAUUUCCAAUGUGGAUGAAGCAGCCUUAUACUGGAAGAAGAUGCCUUCUAGGACUUUCAUAGCUAGAGAGGAGAAGUCAAUGCCUGGCUUCAAAGCUUCAAAGGACAGGCUGACUCUCUUGUCGGAUCUAAUGCAGCUGGUGACUUCAGGUCGAAGCCAAUGCUCAUUUACCAAUCCAAAAAUCCUAGGACCCUUAAAAAUUAUGCUAAAUCUACUCCGCCUGUGCUCUAUAAAUGGAACAAGAAAGCCUGGAUGACAGCACAUCUUUUUACAACAUGGUUUACUGAUAUUUUAAGCCCACUGUUGAGACCUACUGCUCAGAAAAAGAUUCUUUUCAAAAUAUUACUGCUUAUUGACAAUGCACCUGGUCACCCAAGAGCUCUGAUGGACAUGUAUUAGGAGGUUAAUGUUGUUUUCAUGUGUGCUAACACAACAUCCAUUCCGCAGGCCAUGGAUCAAGGAGUAGUUUGACUUUCGAGUCUUAUUACUUAAGAAAUACAUUUUGUAAGGCUAUAGCUGCCGUAGAUAGUGAUUCCUUUGAUCAUCUGGGCAAAGUAAAUUGAAAAUCUUUUGGAAAGGAUUCACCAUUCUAGAUGCCAUUAAGAACAUUUGUGAUUCAUGGAGGAGGUCAAUAUAUCAGCAUUAACAGGAGUGUGAAAGAAGUUGAUUUCAACCCUCCUGGAUGACUUUGAGGGGUUCAAGACAUCAGUGGAGGAAGUAACUGCAGAUGUGAUGGAAAUAGCAAGAAAACUAGAGUUAGAAGUGGAGCCUGAAGGUGUAACUGAGUUACUGCAACCUCAUGAUAAAAUUUUAAUGGAUGAGGAGUUGCUUCUUGUGGACAAAGAAAGUGGUUGCUUCAGAUGGAAUCUGUUUCUGGUGAAAAUGCUGUGAACAUUGUUGAUAUGACAAAGGAUUUAGAAUAUUACAUAAACUUAGUUGAUAAAGAAGAGUCAGAGUUUAAGAGGAUUGACUCUAAUUUUGAAAGAAGUUCUAUUUGUGGGUAAAAUGCUAUCAAAUAGCAUUACAUGCUACAGAGAAAUCUUUCAAUUGAUUUCAAACUUACCUUAAUAUUUACCCACUUUUCUAAGUUUAAACCUAACUUUAUUUAUAUCGCCUUUACUUCCUCUCCAUAUCAAAGAUUUCAGACUACAUUUCUUAGUCCUUCUUUAUUGUUUUAAUGUUGUCUUCUUUUACAUAAUUACUUUGCUGUUUCCCUGUUUUAACUUCUGUUUAUCUGGAAAUACCCUAAUUUCACCUUCAUAUUUGAGAGACAGUUUUGCUCUAUAUUUGAUUGUUAGCUGGCAGUUUUUUUUCUUCAGUGCUUUAUAUAAGUCAUCUCAUUGCCUUCUUGCCUGCUUGGUUUCUGCUGAGUAGUCCGAGCUUAUUCUUAUUGACUCUUCUUUGUAGGUGACUUUUCGUUUAUCCCUAGCCGCUCUUAAAAUUCACUCUGUAUCUUCAGUUUUGGCAAGUUUGAUUAUAAUAACAUCUUGGUGACUUUAUUUUGAGAUCUACCUUGUGUGGAGUGUGAUGAGCAUCUUGGAUAGAUAUUUUCUCAUCUUUCACAAUAUCAGGGAAGUGUCUGCCAACAAAUCCUAAACAAUUCUUUCUGUAUUUUCUGUUAACCCUUCCUGUUCUGGUACUCCAAUCACUCGUAGGUUAUUUCUCUUGAUAGAGUCCUACAUGAUUCUUAAGUUUUCUUCAUUUUUUUUUUAAUUCUUUUAUCUGGUUUUUCUUAGAAUAUGUUGUUGCCAAGUAUUUUAUCUUCAGUCUCACUCAUUCUGCCUUCCACUUGCUCAAUUCUGCUCCUCUGACUUUAUAUCAAGUUGUCUAAUUCUGUAAUUUUAUUGUUAAUCUUCGGAAUUUCUGAUUGUUGUCUCUCUACGGAUUCUUGCAGCUUAUUUUUCAUUAUGUUCUUGAAUAACCUUUUUAAUUUCUUCAACUGCUUUAUCUAUGUGUUCCUUGGCUUGUUCUGCAUUUUGCCUGAUCUCCUUCCUUAUCUUGUUCCUGGUGUUCUGUAUGUUAAUCUUGUGUAUUCUGCAUCUGGUAAUUACAGGAAUGCACCUUCAUCCAGAAGAUCCCUUGAUUCUUUGUUUUGAGAGCUUGUUGAAGUGAUCAUGGUCUGCUUCUUUAUGUGAUUUAAUAUUGAUUGUUGUCUCUGAGCCAUCUAUAAGGUCUUUGUUGUAAAAGGGAUCACCGGAAGCAUCUGACUACUCAGCCAUCUUGGCCCCGCCUCUGAUGUGUCAAACUUUGUUGUCUUAUUUUAAGAAAUUGCCACAGCCACCCCAGCCUUCAGCAACCACCACCCUGAUCAGUCAGCAGCCACCAAGAUCGAGGAAGAUCCUCCACCAGCAAAAAGACUGACUCACUGAAGGCUGAGAUGAUAGUUAGCAUUUCUUAGCAAUAAAAUAUUUUUUAAUUAAA
Molecule: long non-coding RNA, 13431 nt
Organism: Loxodonta africana (African savanna elephant)
Lineage: Eukaryota; Metazoa; Chordata; Mammalia; Proboscidea; Elephantidae
Exons: 5
Source: RefSeq, a predicted model, not a curated record